This 291-nucleotide unclassified non-coding RNA is filed under the name uncultured fungus. RNAcentral's name for it is "partial contains 5.8S ribosomal RNA, internal transcribed spacer 2, and large subunit ribosomal RNA". The stretch from base 1 to 52 matches the Rfam family "5.8S ribosomal RNA", at positions 103 to 154 of the family's 154-position model. Lineage: Eukaryota; Fungi. The record is from RNAcentral.
AACGCACCUUGCGCUCCUUGGUAUUCCGAGGAGCAUGCCUGUUUGAGUGUCAUUAAAUUCUCAACCAUACAAGUUUUUCGAAACCUGUCUGGCUUGGAUCAUGGGGUUUGCAGGCUCACCACGAGUCGGCUAUCCUUAAAUGCAUUAGCAGAGCUUUUGCCGCUAACCUCUGGUGUGAUAAUUAUCUACGCCACUGGAACGCGACAUCUUGGGGCUCAGCUUCUAACCGUCCUCACGGACAACAUUUGACAAUCUGACCUCAAAUCAGGUAGGACUACCCGCUGAACUUAA